Molecule: ribosomal RNA, 253 nt
Filed under: uncultured bacterium
Lineage: Bacteria
Description: partial 16S ribosomal RNA
Rfam family: Bacterial small subunit ribosomal RNA
Source: RNAcentral
CACGUAGGGUGCGAGCGUUGUCCGGAAUUAUUGGGCGUAAAGAGCUCGUAGGCGGCUUGUCGCGUCGACUGUGAAAUCCCGCGGCUCAACUGCGGGUCUGCAGUCGAUACGGGCAGGCUAGAGUUCGGUAGGGGAGACUGGAAUUCCUGGUGUAGCGGUGAAAUGCGCAGAUAUCAGGAGGAACACCUAUUGCGAAGGCAGCUCGCUGGGACGUAACUGACGCUGAGACGCGAAAGCGUGGGGAGCAAACAGG